GAUGAACGCUGGCGGCGUGCCUAAUACAUGCAAGUCGAGCGAACGGACGAGAAGCUUGCUUUUCUGAUGUUAGCGGCGGACGGGUGAGUAACACGUGGAUAACCUACCUAUAAGACUGGGAUAACUUCGGGAAACCGGAGCUAAUACCGGAUAAUAUUUUGAACCGCAUGGUUCAAAAGUGAAAGACGGUCUUGCUGUCACUUAUAGCUGGAUCCGCGCUGCAUUAGCUAGUUGGUAAGGUAACGGCUUACCAAGGCAACGAUGCAUAGCCGACCUGAGAGGGGGAGCGGCCGCACUGGAACUGAGCAGCGGUCCAGACUGCUACGGGAGGCAGCAGUAGGGAAUCUUACGCAAUGGGCGAAAGACUGACGGAGCAACGCCGCGUGAGUGAUGAAGGUCUUCGGAGCGUAAAAAUCGGUUAUGAGGGAAGAACAUAUGUGUAAGUAACUGUGCACAGCGUGAAGGUACCGAAUCAGAAAGCCACGGCUAACUACGUG
This 497-nucleotide ribosomal RNA is filed under the name uncultured bacterium. RNAcentral describes it as "partial 16S ribosomal RNA". It matches the Rfam family "Bacterial small subunit ribosomal RNA", at positions 28 to 507 of the family's 1533-position model. The record is from RNAcentral.